This is a long non-coding RNA of Leopardus geoffroyi (Geoffroy's cat), 2813 nucleotides long. RefSeq lists it as uncharacterized. The transcript is spliced from 2 exons. The record is from RefSeq and is a predicted model, not a curated record. Lineage: Eukaryota; Metazoa; Chordata; Mammalia; Carnivora; Felidae.
UCCAGGGACUUUAAAGAUUUUCCACUGAUUUCUGGCUUUCAUUGUUGCAUCAAGAAGUUGGAUAAACCAUCGCUGAUUGCAAUGAGCUCUGUCUCCAAUUUUUGUGACAGGCAUCUGAGAAUUAUGGCACUAGCAUUUACCCUCUUGUUCACAUCAAACUGUUCCUUCUGUUCUUGGAAUAAUUCAGAAGAUAUGAUAUUUGAGCAAUGCAUGCUUAAAGGACAAAGGAAAUUUUUAUUGAUGUCAAUGGUAGUGACCUCUUGUUUUUGAAAGAAAGGCCUAACCCUUUAGACCAUCUCUAAAGCCAAUAUGGACACUGCUUUAAAGGCAAACAACAUGACUCAUUCAUUGAAUUGAGGAAUUUCAAAACUCACAUGGAUACUGAAAUUUUACCCCAAUUAUUUCAUAUUAUGUCUUAGGAAACUAAGUCUUCAAGAAAUUACAAUUUUCUCAAAGGCACACAGUUUAGUUGCUAGAAAUUUUAUUCUCUACAUGAUAAUAGAUUUAUGAAUACAUCAAUUUUACUGACAUUCCUUUUCUUCAGCACAAAUCAGUUUUGUGUGAAGUUGUUCAGUACAGAAAAUAUUCUAAUUUAGAGGUCGAUUUGGGAAAGGGGUAGAAAUACAUGUUUUCCAGCCUAUCGCUGCCAACAGCUUAAUGUGUCCAGUGAUGGGUAUGAGGCAGAGUCUGGUGUUCUUUCUCACAUAUUGACUCCUACUCAACCAUUUUUCUUAGUGUUUUUCAUGGACUUUCCCCAGGGAAAUGGAACAAUAGAUCACAGACCUUGGAAAAUUGUUUCUCACUCUUGUCAAUUUUCCUGCAUGAGUUUUUGAAAGAUAAAACAAAUCCUUGAUAAAACAGUACAUAUUUUUUCUUUUGCAACUUCAAGCUUUUCAUUUAGCACCAGUGUCUCUAUUUUCCUUGUAACCCAUGUCUUACAGAUCGUAGGUUCCUAAAUUUUAUGGGAAAAAAAGCCAAUCUUAUAAACUUCACACUGCGAACUAAUAAUUCAUGAUACGAAUGUUAGUGAUGUUUGUAUUUAAAAGACAGACUAGAUGAAGAAACUUUUUGUUUAAAUAGUAAAAUUUCAGAUGUUGGUGUCAGAAGGUGUUGGAUGAUGUGUGGAUAUAAUACAGAGCCAAAUGGGGUAGAGACUUGUAAUUUUUACCUCUCAUCACUACUGAAAAAUCACCAAAGCUGUUCAUUUCAGAGGUGAUCAUUUGAUCAUAGACUUGAAUAAGUUGCUGUGUUUCAGCUUUCUGUUAUAUUAUUUAAAAAGUUAUGAUGGCAAACAUCAUUUGAUAGAUCAGUUGAUAAAAUACCCAUCACUCUUCUUACCUUUUAAAUUUAGCAGACACUAAUUUAGAAUUGACUAAGUGCCAGGCACUUUUCCAAGUACUUUCCAAAUAUUAACUGUGUAGUUCUUAUUGAAAAUAAAGUUUUUUGAUAUAUGUCCUAUUAUUAACUCCAUCACAUAGAUGAAAAAACUGAGGUUAAAUAACGUUCUGGGUCAAACACAUGGUAGAUGAGUAUCAUCUUUCAAAGGUUUCUGAAGGCAAAUAAGUUCAUAAUUUAAAUACUAAAGCAAUUUUACAAAGAAAGAAAAAAAGAAAAAAAAGGAACUUAACAUUAUUUGGAAAGGAGAUGAGCAUAAUCCUGUAUGGUUUAGUCAUUUAUUAUGCCAGGACACCUAGAAUGAAAAGUGAGUGAGAUGAUUGGAGUAGCAUAUUUGGUGAGAUAUUCGCUUUCCCAGUAUAUUUCAGAAGCAUGGAAGCAGAUGUUUUCUGAGACUAGAAAUUCACUCAGGUAUUACAACAUAAUCUUGGAGUACAUGAAGUUCUCAUCACUGGGAGUAUUUGCAUAGAUACUAUUCUUCUAUAAUACAAGGGGACAUAAAGCCCAAAGGCUGUUUUUGAGGAAAUCCUUUUUGAGAGAUAAAUCACUGACUCUGAUCUUGAAGCACCUAAUUUCUUUCACAGUCACAUCUACUUACUUAUGGCAUGUAACCUAUUUUUUUUAAGAAACGAACUUUAAGAAACUUUACACUUUAAAAAUUGAAAGUUAUGAAAUAAGAAAAUAAAAUAAAGAUGUUUGAUAAGGUUUCUAUGAUUAGAAUUGCCAUGCAUUUAUUUUAAUCAUAGAAAAGUUAUUUUACUAACUGCUUUUGGCAUUUUUGGAUGAAUUAUAUUAAUUUCUCAUCAGAAUUUUUGAAUUGAAAAUAUGUCCUUAUUUCUCUGUUGUCAGAUAUUUUAAGAAAUAAUUUAAGAGGCUAAUUAAAGCACUUAAGUAACACUCGAUCACUUAGAAAAAAAAUAAGACACUGACAUUUGGAGGUAGUUGCAUUUUCGACACAUAAAGUUAACUUUAAAUCAAACUGUUUAAAUACUUUAUUUAAUCAUCAACAUAUGCCUGUUUGGUUACAUUUUAGCAUGAUUUUCCUUAUCUGAUUCUGAAGAUUUUUUCCUUUUAAACUGAUAAAAAUAGCUAAUAGUCUAUGAAACAAACUUAUGGUUACAGUAAAGAAAUUCUUAUAUACUUUUUACCUGGAUCACUUGGUGUUUACCUUUCUGACAUGGAUAAAAACACAUUAAUUUGAUUUUUACGUAAUGAAGUUUAUUCAGUAUUUAUUGAAAAUACCAUAACUAUCCCAUAAACACUGCUCUUACAAAGGGAAUGACAAAGGGGCUGCUUUGUUGUACAUUGUACAAACUGUUUCUCAUUGUCACUAGGGUUGAAUUAGUAGAAAAUGAUAUGGUAGAUACACAUAUAAAUGCCUUACAAAGAUUAAAUAGAUAUUAACAAUUUAUGCAUAA